GGGAAAAGGAUUUAUUCGCUUUAGGAUGGACUCGCGUCCAAUUAGCUAGUUGGUGAGGUAACGGCCCACCAAGGCGACGAUUGGUAGCCGGACUGAGAGGUUGAACGGCCACAUUGGGACUGAGACACGGCCCAGACUCCUACGGGAGGCAGCAGUGGGGGAUAUUGCACAAUGGGGGAAACCCUGAUGCAGCGACGCCGCGUGGAGGAAGAAGGUUUUCGGAUUGUAAACUCCUGUCGUUAGGGACGAUAAUGACGGUACCUAACAAGAAAGCACCGGCUAACUACGUGCCAGCAGCCGCGGUAAGACGUAGGGUGCAAGCGUUGUCCGGAAUUACUGGGUGUAAAGGGAGCGCAGGCGGGAAGACAAGUUGGAAGUGAAAACCAUGGGCUCAACCCAUGAAUUGCUUUCAAAACUGUUUUUCUUGAGUAGUGCAGAGGUAGAUGGAAUUCCCGGUGUAGCGGUGGAAUGCGUAGAUAUCGGGAGGAACACCAGUGGCGAAGGCGGUCUACUGGGCACCAACUGACGCUGAGGCUCGAAAGCAUGGGUAGCAAACAGGAUUAGAUACCCUGGUAGUCCAUGCCGUAAACGAUGAUUGCUAGGUGUUGGGGGAUUGACCCCCUCAGUGCC
Molecule: ribosomal RNA, 630 nt
Filed under: uncultured bacterium
Lineage: Bacteria
Description: bacterial SSU rRNA
Rfam family: Bacterial small subunit ribosomal RNA
Source: RNAcentral